RNAcentral lists this ribosomal RNA (493 nucleotides) under uncultured Bordetella sp. RNAcentral's name for it is "bacterial SSU rRNA". It matches the Rfam family "Bacterial small subunit ribosomal RNA", at positions 505 to 1004 of the family's 1533-position model. The record is from RNAcentral. Lineage: Bacteria; Pseudomonadati; Pseudomonadota; Betaproteobacteria; Burkholderiales; Alcaligenaceae.
GUGCCAGCCGCGGCGGUAAUACGUAGGGUGCAAGCGUUAAUCGGAAUUACUGGGCGUAAAGCGUGCGCAGGCGGUUCGGAAAGAAAGAUGUGAAAUCCCAGGGCUUAACCUUGGAACUGCAUUUUUAACUACCGGGCUAGAGUGUGUCAGAGGGGGUGGAAUUCCACGUGUAGCAGUGAAAUGCGUAGAUAUGUGGAGGAACACCGAUGGCGAAGGCAGCCCCCUGGGAUAACACUGACGCUCAUGCACGAAAGCGUGGGAGCAAACAGGAUUAGAUACCCUGGUAGUCCACGCCUAAACGAUGUCAACUAGCUGUUGGCUCUUCGGGGCUUGGUAGCGCAGCUAACGCGUGAAGUUGACCGCCUGGGAGUACGGUCGCAAGAUUAAAACUCAAAGGAAUUGACGGGACCCGCACAAGCGUGGAUGAUGUGGAUUAAUUCGAUGACAACGCGAAAAACCUACCUAACCCUUGACAUGUCUGGAAUCCCGAAGA